RNAcentral lists this ribosomal RNA (1372 nucleotides) under uncultured bacterium. Its description in RNAcentral is "bacterial SSU rRNA". It matches the Rfam family "Bacterial small subunit ribosomal RNA", at positions 28 to 1381 of the family's 1533-position model. The record is from RNAcentral.
GAUGAACGCUGGCGGCGUGCCUAAUACAUGCAAGUCGAGCGAACGGACGAGAAGCUUGCUUCUCUGAUGUUAGCGGCGGACGGGUGAGUAACACGUGGAUAACCUACCUAUAAGACUGGGAUAACUUCGGGAAACCGGAGCUAAUACCGGAUAAUAUUUUGAACCGCAUGGUUCAAAAGUGAAAGACGGUCUUGCUGUCACUUAUAGAUGGAUCCGCGCUGCAUUAGCUAGUUGGUAAGGUAACGGCUUACCAAGGCAACGAUGCAUAGCCGACCUGAGAGGGUGAUCGGCCACACUGGAACUGAGACACGGUCCAGACUCCUACGGGAGGCAGCAGUAGGGAAUCUUCCGCAAUGGGCGAAAGCCUGACGGAGCAACGCCGCGUGAGUGAUGAAGGUCUUCGGAUCGUAAAACUCUGUUAUUAGGGAAGAACAUAUGUGUAAGUAACUGUGCACAUCUUGACGGUACCUAAUCAGAAAGCCACGGCUAACUACGUGCCAGCAGCCGCGGUAAUACGUAGGUGGCAAGCGUUAUCCGGAAUUAUUGGGCGUAAAGCGCGCGUAGGCGGUUUUUUAAGUCUGAUGUGAAAGCCCACGGCCCAACCGUGGAGGGUCAUUGGAAACUGGAAAACUUGAGUGCAGAAGAGGAAAGUGGAAUUCCAUGUGUAGCGGUGAAAUGCGCAGAGAUAUGGAGGAACACCAGUGGCGAAGGCGACUUUCUGGUCUGUAACUGACGCUGAUGUGCGAAAGCGUGGGGAUCAAACAGGAUUAGAUACCCUGGUAGUCCACGCCGUAAACGAUGAGUGCUAAGUGUUAGGGGGUUUCCGCCCCUUAGUGCUGCAGCUAACGCAUUAAGCACUCCGCCUGGGGAGUACGACCGCAAGGUUGAAACUCAAAGGAAUUGACGGGGACCCGCACAAGCGGUGGAGCAUGUGGUUUAAUUCGAAGCAACGCGAAGAACCUUACCAAAUCUUGACAUCCUUUGACAACUCUAGAGAUAGAGCCUUCCCCUUCGGGGGACAAAGUGACAGGUGGUGCGUGGUUGUCGUCAGCUCGUGUCGUGAGAUGUUGGGUUAAGUCCCGCAACGAGCGCAACCCUUAAGCUUAGUUGCCAUCAUUAAGUUGGGCACUCUAAGUUGACUGCCGGUGACAAACCGGAGGAAGGUGGGGAUGACGUCAAAUCAUCAUGCCCCUUAUGAUUUGGGCUACACACGUGCUACAAUGGACAAUACAAAGGGCAGCGAAACCGCGAGGUCAAGCAAAUCCCAUAAAGUUGUUCUCAGUUCGGAUUGUAGUCUGCAACUCGACUACAUGAAGCUGGAAUCGCUAGUAAUCGUAGAUCAGCAUGCUACGGUGAAUACGUUCCCGGGUCU